RNAcentral lists this ribosomal RNA (424 nucleotides) under uncultured bacterium. RNAcentral describes it as "bacterial SSU rRNA". It matches the Rfam family "Bacterial small subunit ribosomal RNA", at positions 354 to 796 of the family's 1533-position model. The record is from RNAcentral.
GUGGGGAAUAUUGCACAAUGGAGGAAACUCUGAUGCAGCGACGCCGCGUGAACGACGAAGGCCUUCGGGUCGUAAAGUUCUGUCCUUGGGGACGAUAAUGACGGUACCCAAGGAGGAAGCCCCGGCUAACUACGUGCCAGCAGCCGCGGUAAUACGUAGGGGGCGAGCGUUGUCCGGAAUUAUUGGGCGUAAAGGGUUCGCAGGCGGUUCCUUAAGUCAGAUGUUAAAUGCAUAGGCUCAACCUAUGAGUGCAUUUGAAACUGGGGAACUUGAGUUAAGGAGAGGAAAGUGGAAUUCCUAGUGUAGCGGUGAAAUGCGUAGAUAUUAGGAGGAAUACCAGUGGCGAAGGCGACUUUCUGGACUUAAACUGACGCUGAGGAACGAAAGCAUGGGGAGCAAACAGGAUUAGAUACCCCAGUAGUCC